RNAcentral lists this ribosomal RNA (447 nucleotides) under uncultured bacterium. Its description in RNAcentral is "bacterial SSU rRNA". It matches the Rfam family "Bacterial small subunit ribosomal RNA", at positions 227 to 695 of the family's 1533-position model. The record is from RNAcentral.
CGGCCUAUAUUGUAUCAGUUAGUUGGUGGGGUAAGAGCCUACCAAGGCGAUGACACAUAGCGGGUCUGAGAGGAUGAUCCGCCACACUGGAACUGAGACACGGACCAUACUCCUACGGGAGGCAGCAGUGAGGAAUAUUGCACAAUGGGGGGAACCCUGAUGCAGCAACGCCGCGUGGAGGAUGACGCAUUUCGGUGUGUAAACUCCUUUUAUCAGAGAAGUGACGGUAUCUGAUGAAUAAGCUCCGGCUAACUCCGUGCCAGCAGCCGCGGUAAUACGGAGGGAGCAAGCGUUACUCGGAAUCACUGGGCGUAAAGGGCGCGUAGGCGGGUUGUCAAGUCAGGUGUGAAAUCCUAUGGCUCAACCAUAGAACUGCACUUGAAACUGUCAACCUAGAGUAUGGAAGGGGCAGAUGGAAUUAGUGGUGUAGGGGUAAAAUCCGUAGAU